Molecule: ribosomal RNA, 538 nt
Filed under: Phycisphaerae bacterium
Lineage: Bacteria; Pseudomonadati; Planctomycetota; Phycisphaerae
Description: bacterial SSU rRNA
Rfam family: Bacterial small subunit ribosomal RNA
Source: RNAcentral
ACUCCCGGAAACGGGAGCCACGCCCUUCGGGUGGAACAUGCACAGGUGCUGCAUGGCUGUCGUCAGCUCGUGCUGUGAAGUGUCGGGUUAAGUCCCUCAACGAGCGAAACCCCUGUCGCUAGUUGCUAACAGGUUAAGCUGAGUACUCUAGCGAGACCGCCGGUGUCAAACCGGAGGAAGGUGGGGAUGACGUCAAGUCCUCAUGGCCUUUAUGCCCAGGGCUGCACACGUGCUACAAUGGUACCGACAGAACGAUGCAAGACCGCAAGGUGGAGCAAAACGCUCAAAAGGUGCCCCAGUUCGGAUUGGAGGCUGCAAUUCGCCUCCAUGAAGUUGGAAUCGCUAGUAAUCGCGGAUCAGCUACGCCGCGGUGAAUAAGUUCCUGAGCCUUGUACACACCGCCCGUCAAGUCAUGGGAGCUGGCAGUGCCCGAAGUCGCCUCGAUUCAGGGGUGCCCACGGCAAGGCUGGUGACUGGGACUAAGUCGUAACAAGGUAGCCGUAGGGGAACCUGCGGCUGGAUCACCUCCUUUCUAAGG